This is a non-coding RNA of Lactuca sativa (garden lettuce), 1247 nucleotides long. NCBI's taxonomy places the organism in Eukaryota, Viridiplantae, Streptophyta, Magnoliopsida, Asterales, Asteraceae. The record is from RefSeq and is a predicted model, not a curated record.
UUUUUCUUUUUAGUUAUUUCCAGGAUGACUUUCACUUUGCAGUACCUCACCGACUUUCACUCAUCGUUUCAGAUCCUUCAAUAUUUCACCAAUUUCUUAUCACCCCACACAGAGGUUAUAAAUCGAACCUACAAGGGUUUUCCUAUCCGAUUACGUUUCAGUGGGAAAAAGAAAGAGGAAUCAAGAGAUUGAGGCUGAUACGUUCACUAUUUUCUCUUCCUACCACGUCGAUGCUACACUAUCUUCUUCUUGAUGCGCCGAUUCCUCCGUUACUUCUUUCCUUCGCAACAUCCAUACGGUUUUGGUCGUGAUACUGCUGAAGGCGUGGCCACUGUCUUUUCGGUGAGCUUUCAUAUCGCCAUUGCAACAUGAAUUCAUUGAAUCUUAAUUUUGACAGGUAUGUCUAAAACUUCCACAUAUUCAGUCGUUUGGGCGACUGAUUUCGACCUAAAAUGGAAGCUAUAAAAUUAGGGUUUUUUUGCUUUGUUGAUUUUAUUUGCUGUUACUGACAAAGCAUAUUUAGAAAUACAUGGUUCUUGAACAUCCAAUUGUAGCCUUUAGAAAAAAAAGAUGCAAGGGAGUCUGAAAAACUUCUUAGGAUUGUAAAUGUUAAUGACAAGUACACAAUGUGCACGUAUCAUGUUGAUCCUAACCAGGAGAUUAACCUGAAGAAUCAUUGAUGGGGCCGCUAUUUUGUUUGUGGGUACCAAAUGCUUUUUUCUGCUUUAUUAUCGGGGUUUGCUGGGUUUUGGACCAUAUUACCCCUACACUUACUGCAUAUGGUGUUGCUUACUAUGAUGGUGUCAUUGGGACUUUGUACACAUUGUUGGCCCCUACCUGCUUAGGCACUUGGAUGAACUCUAUCUCAAAGAGCAAUCAGCUAACAAGGAAUUCCAGAAGGAAGCCAUGUUCCUAAGUGUCAGCCUUUUCGACCAAUUUCUUACCAAACAAUACUUCACAAAUAAAAGGGACCUUAAAAUUGUUGCCAUUGCAACCAGCCCGCCAACAGUAUUAGAUAGAAGUCAUUCAACAUUGCUCGAUGCGUGCGACAUGAUGCAGGAAAACAUGUCGGCAACAAUCAAAAUAUGUAACAAAUUUGUGCAAGACCAUCCACCAGCAUAACAAGCCAGCAUCAACUUCUUUUGCAUCCACUUCUGUAAUCCAAAAUCAUGUAAUCGCCUUCUAAUGAAGAAAUGUAUUUUGUUGCAUAUUCUGUCAGACGAUCCAUAUGUCCAAUAUAAAGGAAA